This 693-nucleotide ribosomal RNA is filed under the name Exiguobacterium sp. DK-5. RNAcentral's name for it is "bacterial SSU rRNA". It matches the Rfam family "Bacterial small subunit ribosomal RNA", at positions 51 to 729 of the family's 1533-position model. Lineage: Bacteria; Bacillati; Bacillota; Bacilli; Caryophanales. The record is from RNAcentral.
GCGCAGGAAAUCAUACGGAACCCUUCGGGGGGAAGUUGAUGGAAUGAGCGGCGGACGGGUGAGUAACACGUAAAGAACCUGCCCUCAGGUCUGGGAUAACCACGAGAAAUCGGGGCUAAUACCGGAUGGGUCAUCGGACCGCAUGGUCCGAGGAUGAAAGGCGCUUCGGCGUCGCCUGGGGAUGGCUUUGCGGUGCAUUAGCUAGUUGGUGGGGUAAUGGCCCACCAAGGCGACGAUGCAUAGCCGACCUGAGAGGGUGAUCGGCCACACUGGGACUGAGACACGGCCCAGACUCCUACGGGAGGCAGCAGUAGGGAAUCUUCCACAAUGGACGAAAGUCUGAUGGAGCAACGCCGCGUGAACGAUGAAGGCCUUCGGGUCGUAAAGUUCUGUUGUAAGGGAAGAACAAGUGCCGCAGGCAAUGGCGGCACCUUGACGGUACCUUGCGAGAAAGCCACGGCUAACUACGUGCCAGCAGCCGCGGUAAUACGUAGGUGGCAAGCGUUGUCCGGAAUUAUUGGGCGUAAAGCGCGCGCAGGCGGCCUCUUAAGUCUGAUGUGAAAGCCCCCGGCUCAACCGGGGAGGGCCAUUGGAAACUGGGAGGCUUGAGUAUAGGAGAGAAGAGUGGAAUUCCACGUGUAGCGGUGAAAUGCGUAGAGAUGUGGAGGAACACCAGUGGCGAAGGCGACUCUU